This 435-nucleotide long non-coding RNA is filed under the name Gossypium barbadense (sea-island cotton). Its description in RNAcentral is "long non-coding RNA (GBAR_LNC001457)". The record is from RNAcentral. Lineage: Eukaryota; Viridiplantae; Streptophyta; Magnoliopsida; Malvales; Malvaceae.
GAAACUCCAAGAGCUUCACAUAUUAAGUUAGCUUUAGGAUUGAUGCACCUCGUUACAGAGAACACAAAAAAGAUCGAAAGAAGAAAAGAAAAGAGAGAAAACAAAGAAGAGAGAAGAUGAAAAUUUCAUUCAACCAAUUCCAUAACUACCUCAUUCCCUUCCCUGCUGCUGCAAAGGAAAGAAUUGGCCAUUACCAAAAUCAGUUGGGUAAGUUGUUACACGACAGCUAUAGCUUUUCCCAAGCUAAAACUCACGUUUCAUUAAAAUUUAAACGCACAGUAGUUACCAAAACGUAGCGUUCUACUACUAGUUAACUGACUAUUUUUUUCCUUGUUUUUAGUUUCCUACCGUAACAAAUACUCCCUCCCUCAAAAGAUCCUUGUCCUCAAAGAUUAAAGGUAGGGAAUUUUCUCUGCAGCUGUUGUAGGGACUCUC